Molecule: ribosomal RNA, 402 nt
Filed under: uncultured bacterium
Lineage: Bacteria
Description: bacterial SSU rRNA
Rfam family: Bacterial small subunit ribosomal RNA
Source: RNAcentral
UGGGGAAUUUUGGACAAUGGGCGAAAGCCUGAUCCAGCCAUGCCGCGUGAGUGAAGAAGGCCUUCGGGUUGUAAAGCUCUUUUAGUCGGAAAGAAAGAGUUGCAAUGAAUAAUUGUGAUUUAUGACGGUACCGACAGAAAAAGCACCGGCUAACUACGUGCCAGCAGCCGCGGUAAUACGUAGGGUGCGAGCGUUAAUCGGAAUUACUGGGCGUAAAGGGUGCGCAGGCGGUCUUGCAAGUCAGAUGUGAAAGCCCCGGGCUUAACCUGGGAAUUGCGUUUGAAACUACAAGGCUAGAGUGCAGCAGAGGGGAGUGGAAUUCCAGUGUGUAGCAGUGAAAUGCGUAGAGAUGUGGGAANAACACCGAUGGCGAAGGCAGCUCCCUGGGGUUACACGACUGAC